Molecule: ribosomal RNA, 263 nt
Filed under: uncultured Staphylococcus sp.
Lineage: Bacteria; Bacillati; Bacillota; Bacilli; Caryophanales; Staphylococcaceae
Description: partial 16S ribosomal RNA
Rfam family: Bacterial small subunit ribosomal RNA
Source: RNAcentral
CGGACGGGUGAGUAACACGUGGGUAACCUACCUAUAAGACUGGGACAACUUCGGGAAACCGGAGCUAAUGCCGGAUAAGAUAUCGAACCGCAUGGUUCGAUAGUGAAAGAUGGUUUUGCUAUCACUUAUAGAUGGACCCGCGCCGUAUUAGCUAGUUGGUGAGGUAACGGCUCACCAAGGCAACGAUACGUAGCCGACCUGAGAGGGUGAUCGGCCACACUGGAACUGAGACACGGUCCAGACUCCUACGGGAGGCAGCAGAC